CUACGGGUGGCUCCAGUGAGGAAUAUUGGGCAAUGGGCGCAAGCCUGACCCAGCCAUGCCGCGUGAAGGAUGACUGCCCUAUGGGUUGUAAACUUCUUUUGUACGGGAAGAAUGGUUCCUACGUGUAGGGAUUUGACGGUACCGUAAGAAUAAGCAUCGGCUAACUCCGUGCCAGCAGCCGCUGUAAUACGGAGGAUGCAAGCGUUAUCCGGAUUCAUUGGGUUUAAAGGGUGCGCAGGCGGAAUAUUAAGUCAGUGGUGAAAUCCUGCAGCUUAACUGUAGAACUGCCAUUGAUACUGAUAUUCUUGAAUGUAGUUGAGGUAGGCGGAAUGUGUAAUGUAGCGGUGAAAUGCUUAGAUAUUACCCAGAACACCAAUUGCGAAGGUAGCUUACUAAACUAAUAUUGACGCUGAGGCACGAAAGCGUGGGGAGCGAACAGGAUUAGAUACCCGCGUAGUC
This 459-nucleotide ribosomal RNA is filed under the name uncultured bacterium. RNAcentral describes it as "partial 16S ribosomal RNA". It matches the Rfam family "Bacterial small subunit ribosomal RNA", at positions 339 to 795 of the family's 1533-position model. The record is from RNAcentral.